UACCAACCGUGGGUCGGGCGUGCUAGGCCCCUUCGCCCCCACUCUAUAGCGUGGCCCGGGCGUACAAGGCCCCUUCAACCAGCUUACCAACCGUGGGUCGGGCGUACUAGGCCCCUUCACCCUCACUAUGUAGCGUGGCCCGGGCGUACAAGGCCCCUUCAACCAGCUUACUAACCGAUAAGAAUACAACAGAACGACCGAAA
This 203-nucleotide unclassified non-coding RNA is filed under the name Melitaea cinxia (Glanville fritillary). RNAcentral's name for it is "misc RNA ENSMCXG00005017656.1". The record is from RNAcentral. Lineage: Eukaryota; Metazoa; Arthropoda; Insecta; Lepidoptera; Nymphalidae.